Rhodamnia argentea is the source of this 750-nucleotide long non-coding RNA. RefSeq lists it as uncharacterized. The record is from RefSeq and is a predicted model, not a curated record. NCBI's taxonomy places the organism in Eukaryota, Viridiplantae, Streptophyta, Magnoliopsida, Myrtales, Myrtaceae. The transcript is spliced from 2 exons.
UUCUCGUUCACUUGCCUUCCAACUUUUGUUCUGCGCUUUGCUAUUUGAAGCUUGAUCAUUCGUUGGUUCUUUCUUUUCCCGCGCUUUCUGACCGCUGUGAUCUAGUAGGUAAAUGCUGUUAAUUAGCUGCUGAUGGUGAUUGCUAGGAUGGUUUGUCUUUUCAUGCUGAAUGUUGAGUAAUUAUCUGGCUCUGCGUUUCCUGAAUUCAGAUCUUCCCCCCCAAGGAAAAGCCAUUAGUAUCAAAAUUCUUGACGUCUAGAGACCGCUCAUAGUGUAGCUAGGCUGAAUUCUCUGUUUUGAACUACAUGGAAUCUGUUGAGUUUUCGUCUUCCUGGAAAGUUACUACUUGAUGACCUUAUGAUUUACCUUAGAUGAUGGAAAAAGCAACAAGAGAGGGGAAAAAUGUAAGCGUGAUUUUGGACGUGGUUGGAUCUUCAAAAUGCUGGUAAAAUUUGGUGUGUCUUAUCAAGACAUAUGGCGUCUCUUAUAUUAUGUAUUCAGGCGCAUCAUUUCAGUGUGAAGGGCCAUAACAUAUGCUUGGUGAGAAUUUAGCCUGUCCGAUCUACUUGUAUCCUUUGGGUUUCUCUUCUGGCUUAAUUAGCUUUUUUUGGAUAAGGCACUAUGGAAUAUACAUCAUGUGAGAUUCUGAAUACUGUCCACGUUCUGACAAUCAUACGAGUUAUAUGCAGAUUGAUCUAGUGAAUAGGAGGAAUGUUCUUGUAACCUUUGCAGCUCUUUCAUAACUUAUUC